GUAGGGUACGGUGACAUGGCGCCGAAAACGUAUCUAGGCAUGUUCGUGGGCGCGCUCUGUGCAUUGGCCGGCGUCUUGACUAUCGCUCUGCCAGUGCCAGUGAUCGUCUCAAAC
Molecule: non-coding RNA, 114 nt
Organism: Papilio machaon (common yellow swallowtail)
Lineage: Eukaryota; Metazoa; Arthropoda; Insecta; Lepidoptera; Papilionidae
Source: Rfam